AUUGAACGCUGGCGGCAUGCCUUACACAUGCAAGUCGAACGGUAACAGGUCUUCGGAUGCUGACGAGUGGCGAACGGGUGAGUAAUACAUCGAAACGUGCCCAGACGUGGGGGAUAACGAGGCGAAAGCUUUGCUAAUACCGCAUACGAUCUAAGGAUGAAAGCAGGGGACCGCAAGGCCUUGCGCGUUUGGAGCGGCCGAUGGCAGAUUAGGUAGUUGGUGGGAUAAAAGCUUACCAAGCCGACGAUCUGUAGCUGGUCUGAGAGGACGACCAGCCACACUGGGACUGAGACACGGCCCAGACUCCUACGGGAGGCAGCAGUGGGGAAUUUUGGACAAUGGGCGAAAGCCUGAUCCAGCAAUGCCGCGUGCAGGAUGAAGGCCUUCGGGUUGUAAACUGCUUUUGUACGGAACGAAAAGGCUCUGGCUAAUACCUGGGGCACAUGACGGUACCGUAAGAAUAAGCACCGGCUAACUACGUG
This 482-nucleotide ribosomal RNA is filed under the name uncultured bacterium. Its description in RNAcentral is "partial 16S ribosomal RNA". It matches the Rfam family "Bacterial small subunit ribosomal RNA", at positions 30 to 507 of the family's 1533-position model. The record is from RNAcentral.